Pelobates cultripes (western spadefoot toad) is the source of this 210-nucleotide non-coding RNA. NCBI's taxonomy places the organism in Eukaryota, Metazoa, Chordata, Amphibia, Anura, Pelobatidae. The record is from the annotation of a GenBank genome assembly.
CUUCCUUCUAACAAAUAGGUCACAUUUAGGAGUUUUGUGUGGUGAGCAUUUAGGUAAGUUUAUACAAGGAUGUUUGGUGCAAAAGAGUGCUGAUAAUACAAGUAUGCAUUGGGCAAAGUAGUACUGAUAAUGCAAGGAGGCAUUGUGCAAAGGAGUGCUGAUAAUGCAAUGAGACAUUGUGAAAAAGAGUGCUAAUAAUGGAUAUCCUGG